GGUUCCAUAGUGUAGCAGUUAGCACAUCUGCUUUACACGCAGAAGGUCCUGAGUUCACUCCCCAAUGGAGCCA
This 73-nucleotide transfer RNA is filed under the name Pteropus alecto (black flying fox). It matches the Rfam family "tRNA". Rfam says of the family: Transfer RNA (tRNA) molecules are approximately 80 nucleotides in length. The record is from Rfam by way of RNAcentral. Lineage: Eukaryota; Metazoa; Chordata; Mammalia; Chiroptera; Pteropodidae.